This is a long non-coding RNA of Alnus glutinosa, 499 nucleotides long. RefSeq lists it as uncharacterized. NCBI's taxonomy places the organism in Eukaryota, Viridiplantae, Streptophyta, Magnoliopsida, Fagales, Betulaceae. The record is from RefSeq and is a predicted model, not a curated record. The transcript is spliced from 2 exons.
GCUUUAGAAGCGAGUGACGUGACGUGUGAGCAUGCGGGUAGCUUUUGUGUCAUAGAGUUUGGGUUCAAUAGCAUAGUCUAAUGCUACCAAUGUUUGCAGGAUCAUGUUCGGAUUGGAGACUUUAAUUGGUUCUCCAAUGUAGAGUCCAAGUGACUAGAGUCCAAAGAGUGUUCGAGUUGGAGUCCAAUGCAGCCAAGAUGAUGUUUCUUUGGCUGCAGGUACUACGGUAUAGUCGAUGGGUCGGUAACAGUGUGCUUGGGAUAUUAUGACUGAAGCUCGCCGCGACAGUUGCAAUUGUCGGACCACGGGUUGUCCACUAUUUUAUAGGUUUGGUAUGGCUUGUGACGUUUGUGUCACUUAUUCUUUGUUAAGCCAUUAUUGUUAUUGUGUUAAUAAGACUCAAACAGAUAGAUGUUAAAUGGCUCUUUGUUGUAAUUAAUUUGUGAUAGAUGUAUAAGUUGUAAUUUCCGCUAUUCAGAUUCAUGUUUUCCGCUGCAUA